CCUACGGGAGGCAGCAGUAGGGGAAUCUUGCGCAAUGGGCGAAAGCCUGACGCAGCCAUGCCGCGUGAAUGAUGAAGGUCUUAGGAUUGUAAAAUUCUUUCACCGGGGACGAUAAUGACGGUACCCGGAGAAGAAGCCCCGGCUAACUUCGUGCCAGCAGCCGCGGUAAUACGAAGGGGGCUAGCGUUGCUCGGAAUUACUGGGCGUAAAGGGAGCGUAGGCGGAUAGUUUAGUCAGAGGUGAAAGCCCAGGACUCAACCUUGGAACUGCCUUUGAUACUGGCUAUCUUGAGUACGGGAGAGGUGUGUGGAACUCCGAGUGUAGAGGUGAAAUUCGUAGAUAUUCGGAAGAACACCAGUGGCGAAGGCGACACACUGGCCCGUUACUGACGCUGAGGCUCGAAAGCGUGGGGAGCAAACAGGAUUAGAUACCCUGGUAGUCCACGCCGUAAACGAUGAGUGCUAGUUGUCGGCAUGCAUGCAUGUCGGUGACGCAGCUACGACAUAAGUACACUCCGCCGUCGGGAGGUACGGUCGCGAAGAAGUUAAAACGUUAAAACGGUAAAGUUAGACGGCGUGAGACGUGCCGACGGACGACGACGAGGGAGGAGG
This 611-nucleotide ribosomal RNA is filed under the name uncultured bacterium. Its description in RNAcentral is "bacterial SSU rRNA". The stretch from base 1 to 519 matches the Rfam family "Bacterial small subunit ribosomal RNA", at positions 338 to 873 of the family's 1533-position model. The record is from RNAcentral.